RNAcentral lists this ribosomal RNA (469 nucleotides) under uncultured delta proteobacterium. Its description in RNAcentral is "bacterial SSU rRNA". It matches the Rfam family "Bacterial small subunit ribosomal RNA", at positions 505 to 974 of the family's 1533-position model. Lineage: Bacteria; Deltaproteobacteria. The record is from RNAcentral.
GUGCCAGCGCCGCGGUAACACGGGGGACGCAAGCGUUAUUCGGAAUUAUUGGGCGUAAAGGGCGUGUAGGCGGUCUUAUCGGUCAGAUGUGAAAGCCCAGGGCUCAACCCUGGACGUGCAUUUGAAACAGUAAGACUUGAGUACUGGAGAGGAAAGCGGAAUUCCUGGUGUAGAGGUGAAAUUCGUAGAUAUCAGGAGGAACACCGAUGGCGAAGGCAGCUUUCUGGACAGAAACUGACGCUGAUGCGCGAAGGCGUGGGUAGCGAACAGGAUUAGAUACCCUGGUAGUCCACGCAGCAAACGAUGUACACUAGGUGUAGGGGAUAUUAAAAUUUUCUGUGCCGCAGUUAACGCAUUAAGUGUACCGCCUAGGGAGUACGGUCGCAAGAAUGAAACUCAAAGGAAUUGACGGGGGCCCGCACAAGCGGAGGAGCAUGUGGUUUAAUUCGAUGCACGCGAGGAACCUUAC